Molecule: long non-coding RNA, 534 nt
Organism: Piliocolobus tephrosceles (Ugandan red Colobus)
Lineage: Eukaryota; Metazoa; Chordata; Mammalia; Primates; Cercopithecidae
Exons: 2
Source: RefSeq, a predicted model, not a curated record
GUCCACCGGCUACGCAGACCAACGGCAAGUUGGCACACCAGGUCAGGCGCCUGCAUGGGUGCCCAAAAGUCUCAAGAUCUGACCUUGGAGAGACCAGGUCCAGGAGGCUGCUGGGAAGUCUCCAUUACACUGGCCUCAGUCGAGUCACAGGAAUGCAGGCUCUGCCAUGCCCAGGAGCCUGAGAUGCAACUUCAAGGACAACCAGAGCCAGAACACUUGGCCUCACAUAGAAGGUGCCUCCUAACCACCACAAUUAACGUAGCACCAGCACACAGAGAUUAGGCCUACACCAAUGGCUAAUUGAGGCCAUGCAUCACUAUUAAGGUGUCUUCACCAAAAGGAACCAUGGAAGUUCUGCAUGAAACAUAGAAACCAGUUAGAAAAGGAGCUAAAUUUCAAACAGAGAAUGUGGUGUUCAAUCACAGAGAAGUGUCCAGAAGGAACUCCUGAAGUACUGUUUUCCAAAGUACAGAAUGAUAUAGAAAAUUGUUUUAGGUGGAAUUCCUGAAGAUAAAUUUUUAAAUGUUUCUUUUU